UCCCUGGCAGUCCAGUGGUUAGAACUCUGCACUUUCACUGCAGGGGGCACAGGUUUGAUCCCUGGCUGGGGAA
This 73-nucleotide transfer RNA is filed under the name Bos indicus x Bos taurus (hybrid cattle). It matches the Rfam family "tRNA". From Rfam's summary of the family: Transfer RNA (tRNA) molecules are approximately 80 nucleotides in length. Their secondary structure includes four short double-helical elements and three loops (D, anti-codon, and T loops). Lineage: Eukaryota; Metazoa; Chordata; Mammalia; Artiodactyla; Bovidae. The record is from Rfam by way of RNAcentral.